Molecule: non-coding RNA, 146 nt
Filed under: Gorilla gorilla gorilla (western lowland gorilla)
Lineage: Eukaryota; Metazoa; Chordata; Mammalia; Primates; Hominidae
Source: Rfam by way of RNAcentral
GCCAGGCACAGUGGCGGGUGCCUGUAAUCCCAGCUACUUGGGAGGUUGAGGCAGGAGAAUUGCUUGAACCCAGGAGGUGGAGGGUGUGGUAAGCUGAGAUUGCCACUGCAUUCUAGCCUGGGUGACAGAGCAAGAGUCUGUCUCAA